Molecule: ribosomal RNA, 534 nt
Filed under: Serpula lacrymans
Lineage: Eukaryota; Fungi; Basidiomycota; Agaricomycetes; Boletales; Serpulaceae
Description: SSU rRNA
Rfam family: Bacterial small subunit ribosomal RNA
Source: RNAcentral
UAGUCAAUGCUCGCAAGAGUGAACUAGCUAACUGAAAUCAUAUAUGUGUCAUAUGUGAUAAAGUAAGGGAAAAUAAUGAUAUUACCUUAUUAUUAGUGUUGUCCAAAACUGGUGCCAGAAGACUCGGUAAGGCCAGAGACGCGAACGUUAGUCGUCCUAAUCAGGCGUAAAGGGUUUGUAGGCUGCUUUAAAAGUUUUAUUUUUAAUAUAGCUAAAAUAAAGAUAAGAUCAAUUAAAGCUAGAAUCAAAUAGAGGGUAAACCAAAUAAUACUUAGAGUAGGGCCGAUAUCCAUAAAUACUAGGUGGAAUACUAAAGGUGAAAGCUUUUUAUCUACUAAUGAUUGACGCUGAGAAACGAAGGUGAGGAAAGGAAACAGGAUUAGAUACCCACAUACCCCUCUCUGUCAACGAUGAAUGGUGGCUUGCUAAUUGAAUAAAACAUUAAAAAUUUAAUGUAAUUAUAAUAAAAAAUUGGUAGCGAUGUUAACACGAUAACCAUUCCGCCUUGUGAGUACGACUGCAAAGUUGAAAACA